Molecule: long non-coding RNA, 1321 nt
Organism: Cuculus canorus (common cuckoo)
Lineage: Eukaryota; Metazoa; Chordata; Aves; Cuculiformes; Cuculidae
Exons: 3
Source: RefSeq, a predicted model, not a curated record
AUGUGUCCCAGAGGAGCCGCAUUAUAGCACAGAGUACAGUGCCCUUGGGGAGCUCAGGACAAACUACCCAAUGUCUGCCUGGGUAAGACAUAACAGCAGAAAAAAAAGAAUUGAGGUUUGAGACAGAAGGGAAGGUUGGGACGUAGAGGCCAAGAGUUGCCCUCUCGACUCAACUUCUUCAAAACGGGUGCCGUUUAUCAGCUGCCGUACUAGGGCUGACAGCGUCGAACGGUUAUAUAAAUCCUAAAUGAGGUGAAAAGAAAGAGCUCGUGGAUGUAACCCAACCUACAGUCUGGGAGCUGUGGGAAGGUGCUGGUGUAAGAGCUGUCUUUGCACUGUGGUUUGGCUCUAACAAAGGGUGCGAGAACUGGGAAUCACGGACUACUCAUUUCUAAACUGUAUCCAAAGGGGGCGUCAGAGACUCUUAGGCUUUAAUUUCUUCUGAAACUGGAGAUAGUGGAAUCAGUUUCCUCGUUUCUAGCACAAUUAAUGAGGUGGUUAACUCCACCCCAGCCCCAGUUUAUCUUGGGGUUAUGCCCAAUUCUGAGCACAACUCUGAAGGAGAUGUAGCAACAAACUUCUUGGCCAUUGAUGGCUCCUGCUUUUCUUUAAAUGACUUGAGGAAAUACAGCUAGUUUCAGCUACCUAAGCAAGGAAGGUGCAGGACUGUGAAAUACAAUGACCUUAAAAGGUCAAAACAGGGAAAGGCUGUGCUUCAGUGCCUCUGCUUUGGACAAACUUUGGCUUUCCCAGUAUUGAUGAAAAAUUAAACAAAAUCAAUACUGGUGGGGUAAGGAUUCCAACAGGACUCACAUUCAGGAUCCAGAUGCACUCGAGAGCUCAUCAGUCCCCCCUCCCAUAUAUUGCAAGGUCAAAUGAAAAGGGCACCACACAACGUAAAUCCAAAAUCACCUCCGCGUCCUCAUAGCCAUUUGAAAAGUACUCAGCUAAAUAUAUUCCUUUGGCCAAAACCAUUCUGCUUUCUGCAACAGGGUGAUAUCACAGCCUCAAUAAUAAAUAAACAAGCAAACAAAGAAGCAAAAACCUACUGGAGUGUGUUAUGCAAUGUCAUCUAGAGGAAAAAUACUCUAGCGUCUGAUUGGCCAAAGUCAGUCAUGCUGCAUAUACUUCUCACGACUUAGGUAUUGGGAAUGACCUCAGAGACAAAGGAAAUAUUGGCGCUAUGACACUAGUGGGAGAGCAGACAGGUCUGCAGUGGACAUGGUAUGCGCAUACUCUAAAAUAGCCUGAACAGAUAGGAGCAUGAAGCCCCAAUGUGUGCACAAUACUAGCGGGGUAGCCAAAUAAUGUAUAGAUAUGA